UACGUAGGGAGCAAGCGUUGUCCGGAUUUAUUGGGCGUAAAGAGCUCGUAGGCGGCUUGUCACGUCGGGUGUGAAAGCCCGGGGCUUAACCCCGGGUCUGCAUUCGAUACGGGCUAGCUAGAGUGUGGUAGGGGAGAUCGGAAUUCCUGGUGUAGCGGUGAAAUGCGCAGAUAUCAGGAGGAACACCGGUGGCGAAGGCGGAUCUCUGGGCCAUUACUGACGCUGAGGAGCGAAAGCGUGGGGAGCGAACAGG
This 253-nucleotide ribosomal RNA is filed under the name uncultured bacterium. Its description in RNAcentral is "partial 16S ribosomal RNA". It matches the Rfam family "Bacterial small subunit ribosomal RNA", at positions 524 to 776 of the family's 1533-position model. The record is from RNAcentral.